RNAcentral lists this ribosomal RNA (570 nucleotides) under Nakazawaea ishiwadae. RNAcentral's name for it is "partial large subunit ribosomal RNA". It matches the Rfam family "Eukaryotic large subunit ribosomal RNA", at positions 62 to 648 of the family's 3401-position model. The record is from RNAcentral. Lineage: Eukaryota; Fungi; Ascomycota; Pichiomycetes; Alaninales; Pachysolenaceae.
AAACCAACAGGGAUUGCCUUAGUAACGGCGAGUGAAGCGGCAAAAGCUCAAAUUUGAAAUCUAGCACUUUCAGUGUUCGAGUUGUAAUUUGAAGAAGGUAUCUUUGGAGUUGGCCCCUGUCUAUGUUCCUUGGAACAGGACGUCACAGAGGGUGAGAAUCCCGUGCGAUGGGGAGACCAAUUCUAUGUAAAGUUCCUUCGAAGAGUCGAGUUGUUUGGGAAUGCAGCUCUAAGUGGGUGGUAAAUUCCAUCUAAAGCUAAAUAUUGGCGAGAGACCGAUAGCGAACAAGUACAGUGAUGGAAAGAUGAAAAGAACUUUGAAAAGAGAGUGAAAAAGUACGUGAAAUUGUUGAAAGGGAAGGGCUUUUGAUCAGACUUGGUGUUUAGUACUCUCUACUCCUUGUGGGUGGGGCUCUUGCUUUAUACUGGGCCAGCAUCGGUUUGGAUGGCAGGAUAAUGACUUUGGAAUGUGGCUUCAUUCGUGGAGUGUUAUAGCCUUUGUUGAUACUGCCUAUCUAGACCGAGGACUGCGUCUUUUGACUAGGAUGCUGGCGUAAUGAUUAAAAGCCGC